Gorilla gorilla gorilla (western lowland gorilla) is the source of this 415-nucleotide long non-coding RNA. RefSeq lists it as uncharacterized. The transcript is spliced from 3 exons. The record is from RefSeq and is a predicted model, not a curated record. Lineage: Eukaryota; Metazoa; Chordata; Mammalia; Primates; Hominidae.
CGCGCCCCCGGCGUCACCGUGACGCCACAAGACGGGGGCGGGGCCUCGAGUCCCGCUCUGCCCAUUGGCCCGGGCUGUAACGUCCCAGCGCUGAGCGGGUAUACACGCGCGGGCUCGCAGCUGUCAGCAGCCGGAGCCCGAGUGAGCGCGGGCUAGAGACCUGCUGAGCAGCGGGACCUGGCGGCUGGCGUUCUGGUGUGGGGCCGAGAACAGACCCUUCUUCUGAAAAGCCACUGGCCCCUUGUUCUAUGAAAGCUAUACGACACAUGCGUGUAAAGACAUGGCAGCGGCAGUGUCCACAUUGGCAUCACAGGUCGAUUUCUCAUUGUCUUCACCAAUCUUCUGAACCCGUGAAUACUUUUUGCAUGAUGAUUUGAAGCAGCCAGGAGGCCAAGACAGCGGCCAGGAGAAGCAG